Molecule: ribosomal RNA, 253 nt
Filed under: uncultured bacterium
Lineage: Bacteria
Description: partial 16S ribosomal RNA
Rfam family: Bacterial small subunit ribosomal RNA
Source: RNAcentral
UACGUAGGGACCAAGCGUUGUUCGGAUUUACUGGGCGUAAAGGGCGCGUAGGCGGCUUAACAAGUCACUUGUGAAAUCUCCGGGCUUAACUCGGAACGGCCAAGUGAAACUGUCAAGCUAGAGUGCAGAAGGGGCAAUCGGAAUUCUUGGUGUAGCGGUGAAAUGCGUAGAUAUCAAGAGGAACACCUGAGGUGAAGACGGGUUGCUGGGCUAACACUGACGCUGAGGCGCGAAAGCCAGGGGAGCAAACGGG